This 280-nucleotide ribosomal RNA is filed under the name uncultured bacterium. RNAcentral describes it as "partial 16S ribosomal RNA". It matches the Rfam family "Bacterial small subunit ribosomal RNA", at positions 506 to 784 of the family's 1533-position model. The record is from RNAcentral.
UGCCAGCAUCCGCUGUACCCCUUAUGGUCCAGUCGUUGUCCGGAUUUAUUGGGCGUAAAGAGCUCGUAGGUUGUUCGGUAAGUCGGAUGUGAAAACUCGAGGCUCAACUUCGAGACGCCAUCCGAUACUGCUGUGACUGGAGUCCGGUAGAGGAGUGUGGAAUUCCUGGUGUAGCGGUGAAAUGCGCAGAUAUCAGGAGGAACACCAACGGCGAAGGCAGCACUCUGGGCCGGUACUGACACUGAGGAGCGAAAGCGUGGGGAGCAAACAGGAUUAGAUA